AUGGAACAGAAGCGUCCGCCACUGUGCGACUGGACGGGUGUCAUUUGCAGCUCACCGAUUUCAGGGCGCGUCGUUGCCCUGAGAAUCCCCGGCCAAAGCUUGUCAGGCGAGAUCACCCCCUCGCUUGGAAACUUGACGUUCCUUCAGGUCAUCAGCUUGCGCUACAAUGGCUUCUCCGGCCAGUUACCUCCCCUGAAUCAGCUCCAAGAGCUGCGUGUCCUUGACCUGGAAUCCAAUUCACUCCAGGGGAUAAUCCCUGACUCAAUCAUGAAUUGUUCAAAACUACGUGUUCUACAUCUUUCUAGAAACAGGCUAGAAGGUCCAAUCCCCAAAAAAAUUGGUUCGCUCCACAAUUUACCAAGUAUAGAUCUUUCCAGGAAUAAUCUCAUAGGAGUCAUCCCAUCAAGCAUCAGCAACGCCACCAAGCUUCGACAGGUCGAUCUUCGAGAAAAUGAACUAGGGGGGAACAUUCCUGAAUCCUGA
Molecule: ribosomal RNA, 483 nt
Filed under: Triticum aestivum (bread wheat)
Lineage: Eukaryota; Viridiplantae; Streptophyta; Magnoliopsida; Poales; Poaceae
Description: partial small subunit ribosomal RNA
Source: RNAcentral